AAUCUUCCACAAUGGGCGAAAGCCUGAUGGAGCAACGCCGCGUGGGUGAAGAAGGUCUUCGGAUCGUAAAACCCUGUUGUUAGAGAAGAAAGUGCGUGAGAGUAACUGUUCACGUUUCGACGGUAUCUAACCAGAAAGCCACGGCUAACUACGUGCCAGCAGCCGCGGUAAUACGUAGGUGGCAAGCGUUAGCCGGAUGUAUUGGGCGUAAAGGGAACGCAGGCGGUCUUUUAAGUCUGAUGUGAAAGCCUUCGGCUUAACCGGAGUAGUGCAUUGGAAACUGGGAGACUUGAGUGCAGAAGAGGAGAGUGGAACUCCAUGUGUAGCGGUGAAAUGCGUAGAUAUAUGGAAGAACACCAGUGGCGAAAGCGGCUCUCUGGUCUGUAACUGACGCUGAGGUUCGAAAGCGUGGGUAGCAAACAGG
Molecule: ribosomal RNA, 424 nt
Filed under: uncultured bacterium
Lineage: Bacteria
Description: bacterial SSU rRNA
Rfam family: Bacterial small subunit ribosomal RNA
Source: RNAcentral